Acanthosepion pharaonis is the source of this 109-nucleotide non-coding RNA. NCBI's taxonomy places the organism in Eukaryota, Metazoa, Mollusca, Cephalopoda, Sepiida, Sepiidae. The record is from the annotation of a GenBank genome assembly.
UUACGGCCACAUCACGUUAAAACACCGGUUCCCGUACGAUCACCGAAGUUGAGCAACGUCGAGCUUUAUCAUUACAUAGAUGGGUGACCGCUUAGCAAUACCAGCUGCU